CCUACGGGUGGCUGCAGUGAGGAAUAUUGGUCAAUGGACGAGAGUCUGAACCAGCCAAGUAGCGUGAAGGAUGACUGCCCUAUGGUUUGUAAACUUCUUUUAUAUGGGAAUAAAAUGUUCCACGUGUGGGAUUUUGUAUGUACCAUAUGAAUAAGGAUCGGCUAACUCCGUGCCAGCAGCCGCGGUAAUACGGAGGAUCCGAGCGUUAUCCGGAUUUAUUGGGUUUAAAGGGAGCGUAGGUGGAUUGUUAAGUCAGUUGUGAAAGUUUGCGGCUCAACCGUAAAAUUGCAGUUGAAACUGGCAGUCUUGAGUACAGGAGAGGUGAGCGGAAUUCGUGGUGUAGCGGUGAAAUGCUUAGAUAUCACGAAGAACUCCGAUUGCGAAGGCAGUUCACUGGACUGCAACUGACACUGAGGCUCGAAAGUGUGGGUAUCAAACAGGAUUAGAUACCCGGGUAGUC
This 460-nucleotide ribosomal RNA is filed under the name uncultured bacterium. Its description in RNAcentral is "partial 16S ribosomal RNA". It matches the Rfam family "Bacterial small subunit ribosomal RNA", at positions 338 to 795 of the family's 1533-position model. The record is from RNAcentral.